GGCAGGGUAGCGAAGAGGCUAAACGCGGCGGACUGUAAAUCCGCUCCUUCGGGUUCGGGGGUUCGAAUCCCUCUCUCUCCA
Molecule: transfer RNA, 81 nt
Filed under: Streptococcus pneumoniae
Lineage: Bacteria; Bacillati; Bacillota; Bacilli; Lactobacillales; Streptococcaceae
Description: tRNA-Tyr
Rfam family: tRNA
About the family: Transfer RNA (tRNA) molecules are approximately 80 nucleotides in length.
Source: RNAcentral